This 368-nucleotide ribosomal RNA is filed under the name uncultured bacterium. Its description in RNAcentral is "bacterial SSU rRNA". It matches the Rfam family "Bacterial small subunit ribosomal RNA", at positions 527 to 896 of the family's 1533-position model. The record is from RNAcentral.
GGAGGGUGCGAGCGUUAUCCGGAAUUACUGGGUUUAAAGGGUGCGUAGGCGGCCAUGUAAGUCARGAGUGAAAGUUUGCGGCUCAACCGUAAAAUUGCUUUUGAUACUGCAUGGCUGGAAUCAGGAUGAGGUCAGCGGAAUGUGGCAUGUAGCGGUGAAAUGCAUAGAUAUGCCAUAGAACACCAAUUGCGAAGGCAGCUGGCUAGACCUGUAUUGACGCUGAGGCACGAAAGCGUGGGGAGCGAACAGGAUUAGAUACCCUGGUAGUCCACGCCCUAAACGAUGCUUACUCGGCGUAUGAAGCUUGUCUUUGUGCGUCCAAGGGAAACCGUUAAGUAAGCCACCUGGGGAGUACGACCGCAAGGUUG